GAAGGCCUCUGGGCUGUAAACCUCUUUUCUCAAGGAAGAAGAUCUGACGGUACUUGAGGAAUAAGCCACGGCUGAUUCCGUGCCAGCAGCCGCGGUAAUACGGGAGUGGCAAGCGUUAUCCGGAAUUAUUGGGCGUAAAGCGUCCGCAGGCGGCCCUUCAAGUCUGCUGUUAAAACGUGGAGCUUAACUCCAUCAUGGCAGUGGAAACUGUUGGGCUUGAGUGUGGUAGGGGCAGAGGGAAUUCCCGGUGUAGCGGUGAAAUGCGUAGAUAUCGGGAAGAACACCAGUGGCGAAGGCGCUCUGCUGGGCCAUAACUGACGCUCAUGGACGAAAGCCAGGGGAGCGAAAGGGAUUAGAUACCCCUGCAGUCCUGGCCGUAAACGAUGAACACUAGGUGUCGGGGGAAUCGACCCCCUCGGUGUCGUAGCCAACGCGUUAAGUGUUCCGCCUGGGGAGUACGCACGCAAGUGUGAAACUCAAAGGAAUUGACGG
RNAcentral lists this ribosomal RNA (492 nucleotides) under uncultured Synechococcus sp. RNAcentral's name for it is "bacterial SSU rRNA". It matches the Rfam family "Bacterial small subunit ribosomal RNA", at positions 410 to 916 of the family's 1533-position model. Lineage: Bacteria; Bacillati; Cyanobacteriota; Cyanophyceae; Synechococcales; Synechococcaceae. The record is from RNAcentral.